ACUAAGUAUCCUAAUUAUAAGUUAAUAAUUUUUGUUGGUAGGACAGUUUAGUUGGGGCGACUACCUUUGAAUAAGAAACGAAGGCGAGCUUAUGGUAUUAUUAAAAUCUCAUUAGCCUCACAGUGAGGGGGACACCCCUAGCUGGCACAAGGACUUCCCCGCAUAGUAUAUAGUAUAUACGUAAGGGGGUUCCUAUGUGGGCGAUAGUGACCCGAUAUGAUUAUCCAAAAU
Molecule: ribosomal RNA, 231 nt
Filed under: Thouarella crenelata
Lineage: Eukaryota; Metazoa; Cnidaria; Anthozoa; Scleralcyonacea; Primnoidae
Description: partial 16S ribosomal RNA
Source: RNAcentral